UGUGGGAUAUUGCGCAAUGGGGGAAACCCUGACGCAGCAACGCCGCGUGAAGGAAUAAGGUCUUCGGAUUGUAAACUUUUGUCUUAUGGGAAGAUACAAGACGGUACCAUAGGAGGAAGCCACGGCUAACUCCGUGCCAGCAGCCGCGGUAAUACGGGGGGUGCGAGCGUUGUUCGGAAUUAUUGGGCGUAAAGAGCGUGUAGGCGGCUGAAUAAGUCAGAUGUGAAAUCCCUGGGCUUAACCCAGGACGUGCAUUUGAAACUAUUCGGCUAGAGUAGGGGAGAGGAAAGUGGAAUUCCUGGUGUAGAGGUGAAAUUCGUAGAUAUCGGGAGGAACACCGGUGGCGAAGGCGACUUUCUGGCCCUAUACUGACGCUGAGACGCGAGAGCGUGGGUAGCAAACA
Molecule: ribosomal RNA, 403 nt
Filed under: uncultured prokaryote
Description: bacterial SSU rRNA
Rfam family: Bacterial small subunit ribosomal RNA
Source: RNAcentral